CCGACCGGAAGUGGGCACACACAUAUCCGAUCGGGUUCCUGGGGAUAUGACCGAUCAGAUGGGUGCCUAAAAAACUGUGAAGACAAUGAUUGAAUGUGCAAAAUUAUUAAAGGAGACAGAGGAGGGACCCCUUGUUUACCUAAAUGGGCAGCAAAUCCCUUGUUUACCCAGCAAAUAUGGGUGGUGGGUCCCCGCACUUCCAGUGCUCUAGUCCUUAUUACGAAUUCUAUCAUUACCUCCAAAAGAUUGAUUUGACAUUGAGGAAUGAUUAGAAAAUCUAAUCUAAAAAUCAUAUAAAUAAAUGAUCCCAGGAUCAGGUAAGAGAUCUAUCUAUUCUGAUAUAAUGAUAUAUGGAGAAAAACCCAUUCUGACUUGAGCGUCGGAGUGUUUAUUGCAGGUCCACCCCCCCUUUACAUUGAGACCGACCGCAGAGGAAGCUAGAAGGAAGAACGACCGCAGAGGAAGAAAGAAGGAGCAUCAACCGCUGGAGGAGGAGUGUUUCAGGACGGAGACGGCUGGAAUCUUCCCCGGUCCAAUUCCGCAGAAACAAGUUGGAUGGAAAUAAAGUUAAAAUUUGUAUCUUUUGAGUUUAGAAUAUUGUAUGAUGGCUAGUGAUUAUUGAAUUUGGUUUUAGUCUUAGUUGCUGUGCUGAAAAGAUUGAAUGUAACUAAGUAGGCAAAUGUUGUAGUUGCAAGGGAUAUUUAGGAAAUAAAGAUGCAGAGAAGUUUCUGUAAUAUGGUCAUGAGCACGUGGUUUUGGGGACUAAGUUAAUAUGUAGGAAUGUUAAAUACUGAUGCAUGUAUCAUAUUGGGGUAAUGGGGUUAAACCUAUUUGUUAAUUUGUUUGGACGAUUUAAUAAGAGAAUGAAAGUUUAUGUUGAGAUAGUUAACUGCUGUUAAGAUAAAUUCUAAAUUUGUUCGUUCACGUGGGUUUGAUUUAAGGUGUUUAGGGCUUUUAAUCUGAUGUUAGGGUGAAUUGGUUCAUGGUAGUUGAGUAUGUUGCUUGUAUCUAGGUUAUUUUCAAGAUGUGCAGAUGUUAAAAAAUGUACUGAGUUUUGUAAUGUUUAUAUUUUGAAUGGGAGUUGUGGUUUUGGAGAAAUAUAAUGGGGGAUAAUUUGUUAAAGUUUAAGAAAAGUAAAAAUAUUAAUUAUGGUGACAUGUCGUAUAAAAUGGUUGGAUGUUUUGUUUAUACUUUGUUCAGGUUUUUGUAGGCAUAGGAAGUAAAUAAGAGUGCUAUGAUCAUUUUCGGUGCUCUGUUAAUAAAAUAGAUUAUUAUAUGCGUUAGAAAGAUUAGUAAAGUAGUCAAGUCUGAUUCAGUAGUUUAAUUUAUAUUGUGUAUAAUUAUUAGUAUUAGAUGAACUUUAGGUAUGCUGGAUGUUUGAUUAAUUAUGGGUUCUUUGUGAUUAAAUGAUUUGUAAUAGUAUGGAAUGGUUGAGUAGAAGUAAUAUAGAUGCAGUUUAUGGUAUAUAUAUGUACUAUCAUCACUAAUGAGUCGGAGUUAGUAAUCUGGUGUCAGACUUUGUAUGUAUCAAUUGAAAUUAUGAUAUUAUAUGGUAUAUGUUUUGAUGAGUAAAUGUUUAAAAAGGGUAAGGAUAAUUCUACUGGAGUCCGGGCUUUCUGAUUUGAUUGGUAGAGAUGAUUUUGGUUGAGUCUGACGAAGUGUUGGGGUUUCUUGUUGAUGAUUGGAUGAAACUUUGAAUCCUGGAGCUUUAAAAAGCUAUUUAGUCUGAUUUAAUUGCCGAAGUUCAUUUGUUCGUGGUUGGAUUAAUGUAGCAUGAUUUUAACUGUUAUUGUGUUCUCUGCGUGAUUGGGUUUGUGUGAUUCUGGUUUUGUCUAUCUGGUUGAUGCGUAUUACGGCCCUGGGGAGGCUCUGUUAGUGUGUUUAUGAUUUCUCCGUGCUUAAGGCGUUUCCAAACCAUUUCUACUGCAGUUAAAAACUAAGAGGGGAGGAAGAAUUGGAAUCUGAAGUUUUUCGUUUUUGAAUUUGUUGUAUUUCUAUUUUUAUUAGUAAAAAAAAAAUAUGACUUGCGAGUAUUCCAAAUGGUCAUAAUGUUCUUAACACCGAGUACAUGUCUCUCGUGGAUACAAUGCCUAUGUUAGCAUACACGCUUUGUACACCUAGACACUCUUUUUGUUUCUUUGGAUGUUGAGAAAUUACCGAUGGGAUAAGGAAGCUGCAAUGUCCAGUGAUGGAUUUGCAGGAGCCUCAGCAGCCACCCUAAUUGAAAUGCUUUUUGAGGUGGAGAGCAAAGUUUCUGGCUUAUUCUACAUACCAUGGGAACCAGAGGAGUAAUUGGGGACAAGUGGUCCAUGAGAAUUCUUUGGGCUUGUGCUAUUGGAAGUGCUGUGGGCCUGUAUAUGGUUGCUGUAGAAAGGCAAACACAGAACAGGGCGAGGAUGCUGGCUGAAGAACUAAGGGCAACGGAGUCAGGGGGGAGCAAUGGCGAAGACGGCUGAACUAUGUUACGCUAUAUCUUGCGAUGAUUAUGUAGUAUCAUAAAGCAUAUGCAAAGUUUCAGAUUUUCUGGAAGGUUAUGAUUUUAAAGUUUUACGCAUCCUUUCUCCAUUUGCUAAUAGUAUCGAGAAUUUUACCUGGGGGAAAUAAGUGGAUUUUCAUUUCAAAUGCGUAAUGGAAAGAAUUGAAAUAAGCUUUGUAACCUCCUUUUUAACAUUUUAGCAAAUUAGCCAGUCAAGUUACUUUUAAAUUGUAUGUGCUUUAAUGAUUGAUUUUGCCUAUGUUUUGUUAAACAAAUGCAAAUACUUUAUUUGCUUGAAUCGAUG
Molecule: small RNA, 2780 nt
Filed under: Vigna angularis var. angularis
Lineage: Eukaryota; Viridiplantae; Streptophyta; Magnoliopsida; Fabales; Fabaceae
Description: Non-protein coding transcript
Source: RNAcentral